RNAcentral lists this ribosomal RNA (492 nucleotides) under uncultured bacterium. RNAcentral's name for it is "partial 16S ribosomal RNA". It matches the Rfam family "Bacterial small subunit ribosomal RNA", at positions 29 to 507 of the family's 1533-position model. The record is from RNAcentral.
AGUGAACGCUGGCGGUAGGCCUAACACAUGCAAGUCGAACGGCAGCACAGUAAGAGCUUGCUCUUACGGGUGACGAGUGGCGGACGGGUGAGGAAUACAUCGGAAUCUACUUUUUCGUGGGGGAUAACGUAGGGAAACUUACGCUAAUACCGCAUACGACCUACGGGUGAAAGCAGGGGAUCUUCGGACCUUGCGCGAUUGAAUGAGCCGAUGUCGGAUUAGCUAGUUGGCGGGGUAAAGGCCCACCGAGGCGACGAUCCGUAGCUGGUCUGAGAGGAUGAUCAGCCACACUGGAACUGAGACACGGUCCAGACUCCUACGGGAGGCAGCAGUGGGGAAUAUUGGACAAUGGGCGCAAGCCUGAUCCAGCCAUACCGCGUGGGUGAAGAAGGCCUUCGGGUUGUAAAGCCCUUUUGUUGGGAAAGAAAAGCAGCAGGUUAAUACCCCGCUGUUCUGACGGUACCCAAAGAAUAAGCACCGGCUAACUUCGUG